This 596-nucleotide ribosomal RNA is filed under the name uncultured bacterium. Its description in RNAcentral is "bacterial SSU rRNA". It matches the Rfam family "Bacterial small subunit ribosomal RNA", at positions 112 to 704 of the family's 1533-position model. The record is from RNAcentral.
AAUGCUUAGGAAUCUGCCUAUUAGUGGGGGACAACGUUCCGAAAGGAACGCUAAUACCGCAUACGCCCUAAGGGGGAAAACAGGGGAUCUUCGGACCUUGCGCUAAUAGAUGAGCCUAAGUCAGAUUAGCUAGUUGGUGGGGUAAAGGCCUACCAAGGCGACGAUCUGUAGCGGGUCUGAGAGGAUGAUCCGCCACACUGGGACUGAGACACGGCCCAGACUCCUACGGGGGGCAGCAGUGGGGAAUAUUGGACAAUGGGCGGAAGCCUGAUCCAGCCAUGCCGCGUGUGUGAAGAAGGUCUUCGGAUUGUAAAGCACUUUAAGUUGGGAGGAAGGGCAUUAACCUAAUACGUUAGUGUUUUGACGUUACCGACAGAAUAAGCACCGGCUAACUUCGUGCCAGCAGCCGCGGUAAUACGAAGGGUGCAAGCGUUAAUCGGAAUUACUGGGCGUAAAGCGCGCGUAGGUGGUUCAGCAAGUUGGAUGUGAAAGCCCCGGGCUCAACCUGGGAACUGCAUCCAAAACUACUGGGCUAGAGUACGGUAGAGGGUGGUGGAAUUUCCUGUGUAGCGGUGAAAUGCGUAGAUAUAGGAAGG